RNAcentral lists this long non-coding RNA (262 nucleotides) under Coturnix japonica (Japanese quail). Its description in RNAcentral is "lncRNA (ENSCJPG00005005341.1)". The record is from RNAcentral. Lineage: Eukaryota; Metazoa; Chordata; Aves; Galliformes; Phasianidae.
GUGCAACACUGAGCAAGAAUCACUGGUGAUGUCAACCCUCUGUCAUCUGAGCUGCAUCUCAUGUGAGGGACAGAGCCUUCCCAAACCCAGAAGCUGGUGGCAUCAAGCUCAUGGGAUGCUUAAGUCUAUACCACGAAUUUCCUUAUCAGCAAGCUGGAAAAACUCAAAGCUACUGCGUGCUCAGUGCAUGGGGAGAGCAGCAAUCCACAAAGAUGGACUAAUUCCAGAGGAAGUCAAGCAAAGACUGUGUCACAACUAUUAA